This 451-nucleotide ribosomal RNA is filed under the name Shigella flexneri. RNAcentral describes it as "partial 23S ribosomal RNA". It matches the Rfam family "Bacterial large subunit ribosomal RNA", at positions 1282 to 1735 of the family's 2925-position model. The record is from RNAcentral. Lineage: Bacteria; Pseudomonadati; Pseudomonadota; Gammaproteobacteria; Enterobacterales; Enterobacteriaceae.
UCAGAAGUGCGAAUGCUGACAUAAGUAACGAUAAAGCGGGUGAAAAGCCCGCUCGCCGGAAGACCAAGGGUUCCUGUCCAACGUUAAUCGGGGCAGGGUGAGUCGACCCCUAAGGCGAGGCCGAAAGGCGUAGUCGAUGGGAAACAGGUUAAUAUUCCUGUACUUGGUGUUACUGCGAAGGGGGGACGGAGAAGGCUAUGUUGGCCGGGCGACGGUUGUCCCGGUUUAAGCGUGUAGGCUGGUUUUCCAGGCAAAUCCGGAAAAUCAAGGCCGAGGCGUGAUGACGAGGCACUACGGUGCUGAAGCAACAAAUGCCCUGCUUCCAGGAAAAGCCUCUAAGCAUCAGGUAACAUCAAAUCGUACCCCAAACCGACACAGGUGGUCAGGUAGAGAAUACCAAGGCGCUUGAGAGAACUCAGGUGAAGGAACUAGGCAAAAUGGUGCCGUAACU